Molecule: unclassified non-coding RNA, 322 nt
Filed under: soil metagenome
Description: partial contains 5.8S ribosomal RNA, internal transcribed spacer 2, and large subunit ribosomal RNA
Rfam family: 5.8S ribosomal RNA (bases 1-120)
Source: RNAcentral
GAUGAAGAACGCAGCGAAAUGCGAUAAGUAGUGUGAAUUGCAGAAUUCAGUGAAUCAUCGAAUCUUUGAACGCACAUUGCGCCCCUUGGUAUUCCAUGGGGCAUGCCUGUUCGAGCGUCAUUUGUACCUUCAAGCUUUGCUUGGUGUUGGGUGUUUGUCCCGAGGGACUCGCCUUAAAGUAAUUGGCAGCCAGUGUUUGGUUUUGAAGCGCAGCACAAGUCGCGAUUCAAGGCUACACGCCCGCUUCCACAAGCCUUUUUUCACUUUUGACCUCGGAUCAGGUAGGGAUACCCGCUGAACUUAAGCAUAUCAAAGCGGAGGA